This is a long non-coding RNA of Musa acuminata AAA Group (dessert banana), 2211 nucleotides long. RefSeq lists it as uncharacterized. The transcript is spliced from 4 exons. NCBI's taxonomy places the organism in Eukaryota, Viridiplantae, Streptophyta, Magnoliopsida, Zingiberales, Musaceae. The record is from RefSeq and is a predicted model, not a curated record.
CCGCGACGAGGAGCGUCUCGCAUUUCAAGAGGCAGGAGGAGAGGGAAAGGCUGGGGCUGAGAUUAUGGCGGGCUAGAGAUGAAGGUCACUGAGAAUGUUACACGUACCAAUUGAAAUUAAGCAUGAUAAACUAGAUCUCCACAAAAGCAGCCCGAAGUGGACAGACACCACACAUCCAGCGCUGGAACAUCAUGGCUAUUGUUAAAUGCAGUAUCAGUGCACUCCGCUUUGGUGCUUUCCAAGACGAGUCUGCAAGGUACGUCCUCAUCAAUUCAAUUUAAAGCGAUGGUAGUCAUUAAUUUCUUGAAGUAUGUGACUCUUCAAGCUGAUGCCUGAUGCCGAGUUAGAAGUAGAAAGUAAGAUCGUUAGCCUUGUGACUGCAAUGAGCAGAAACCGACAAAACAGAGUAGAAGUUCCAGAUUUAUAUUAUGAUUUCCUCGCAACAUAUCAAAGAAAAACUAAGUUGAAAAUUCUGAUGGCUCGAAAAAUGGAUACUGGGAUCCAUCAGACGAUGGAUCGCGAGGAUCAAUUCAAGAUAACAUGGUUCCAAAUUUAGGAUGCAAAUACUCUAUUCUACUACUUCUGUCACAUAGUAGACGAUCGGUGUUAUGCUUUAUGCUCCUAGUGGCAGCGAUAGGUGACAGAGAAAGAGGCAAAAUUGAGUGGAAAGAUAGGCAGCAGGAGAUUAACCAUCGAGUAGCUGUUGCUUUCAUUAUCCUGCGUGCACCCAUGUAUUGGGUUUUGAGUUUGGAUAAGGUAGUGCUGAUACGUAGAUAGACACUUGUUGAUAUCGUAAUACUUUGAGGCUUCUUUCAUUGAUAUAGAGUAGGGCAAUCUUGAACUAAAUAGCUUGAAAUGUGGAUUACACCAGUCCGAGGAGGGUAUUUUAGCCUGCAGGAAGCUUCAGAAGAGCGACCAACACUUAUAUUGUUCUUUACAUUUAUAUCCUCAAAAUGUUACACUGCUCACGAUGGAUACAGAUGUACAGUUCGUGAGCUGGCAUCUCCGUUUAGUCUAUUUUAUAUAGAUUGUCUAAUAAAGCAACUAGAUGAUAUGACAAAAAGACCAAGAUAACCUUAAAACUUGCACUCUUUUCUCCCCGGACCAAAAAGAAAGAAAAAAACGGAGGGUAAUUCUGUCAAAGCAUAAUAUGAUUAAAAAGCAUCCACUGCUGUUCUUCCUCCCUACCCUGCUACUAGUAAGCAAACCCACCGGCGAGCGCCCGUUCGCCGGCGGCCGCCCUCGGCCGGCGGCGCCCGGCCCGGUACUUUCCAUCGGCCGCGGCAGCGGCGGCCAGGGAGCAGUGAUCCCUCUUUCCGCUCUCCUCGUCCAUAAAUAUCUGCCGGCACCGGCACUCCUCGCUGCAGAAGGCUCGAUCCCCUCUGAAGUAACAUUAAGUCAAAGCAGCUAAGUAAAACCCCUCCAGAGAGAGAGAGAGAGAGAGCAGUGUUUCUGUUCCCCGAAUAACCCACUCAGGGACACUCCGGGAACAGAACGAACUGAAAAAGAGAAACUUUUCUUUUGUUUCUGACCUGUACAUGUAGAUAUCCUGGCCUUCUUGAAGUUUUCUCCUGCAAAGAUAGCAGUAUUCCAAGAAAGUGCUUCCUUGGGUAGAAGAAGAAGUGGGAGCAGCAGAGAAGGGAGAAGAGUUCUUGAGGACGGAAGUUUUGCUCACGAUCCGGGUGUAUUUUGGGAAGGCCCUUUGUUCUAAGAGAACACUUAAACCCGCCAUUUACUACUACUGGAACACGGGGAGGUGGAAUGCAGGCUUCUACGAGGAUCUAGGGCAUGGUCGCAGCCGUGUCGUAAAGUGUGAACUAUUGCAGUGACUAUGCACUUUGUGCUGAUUUGAUCGGAGGAGCUUGUCGAAUUAGUAAGUGAUUGAUACCCUCCCACUUGUGAUUGGAUGCUUCACUUGGAAAAAGAAUAGGGAUCAAAAUAGUUGGGGUUUGCCACAGGGAAUGCAAGCUGGAAAUCACUAGCACCUGGUUUUAGUGGUCUCUGUACUGUUUUUUAAUGCAUUUCCUGCGUGUUUUCACCUUGAUUUUUAGGGUUAGGUUUCUCUAUCAUACGUCUAAAAUUGCAGAAAGAGAUUUGAUGCUGGUAGGAUCCACUGCAUAUUUUAUUUUCCACUGAUCAACUAUUGGAUUUUUCCGGAUAUUAAAUUGGAAAUCCACUCUUAGAUUAAUCCAACUCGGAAGAAUUAUUAUA